GAGGGCAUAGCUCAGUGGUAGAGCAUAUGCUUAGCAUGCACAAGGCCUUGGGUUCAAUUAUCAGUGCCUCCA
RNAcentral lists this transfer RNA (72 nucleotides) under Camelus bactrianus (Bactrian camel). It matches the Rfam family "tRNA". Rfam says of the family: Transfer RNA (tRNA) molecules are approximately 80 nucleotides in length. Their secondary structure includes four short double-helical elements and three loops (D, anti-codon, and T loops). RNAcentral also lists the same sequence under 2 other names. The record is from Rfam by way of RNAcentral. Lineage: Eukaryota; Metazoa; Chordata; Mammalia; Artiodactyla; Camelidae.